RNAcentral lists this long non-coding RNA (1878 nucleotides) under Aplysia californica (California sea hare). Its description in RNAcentral is "uncharacterized LOC101845223". Lineage: Eukaryota; Metazoa; Mollusca; Gastropoda; Aplysiida; Aplysiidae. The record is from RNAcentral.
CUUGAUACUCCCCGCCUUGUCUCCCCUAGCUUCAGUGCCGUCAGUGCUCUCCCUUCGUCCGCGUGCCGAGUGUGCUGCUGAGCUCUCUGCUGCGACGCGCUGUGUUCUGUUUCCCCCUGCCUGUGUGUUCGUUAGGAGACCUCUACUGCGCGGCGGUGCGAGUGAGUUUUUCCAGUUCGCUCUCGCUGGAGUUGAGAUGUUAUGCACAGCGUUGUAAGAAGAUGUGCACUAUGGAAUUUCAGGACAUUCAGAGUAGUGUGAGCGAUUUAUCAGUUGUGCUAAACCGACGUUCAGUGGAUAUAUUGUGUCACGACGCACCGAAACCAGCUCGCUGAAUGUUGUCUUCCGUGGGUCCUCACACGAGAAAUAGAACCUCUCCCUAGUAACGGUCACACUGUGUGAUAGAUUUCGCUUUGAAGCAUCUCGAUUCUCGAUCACAGGAAAGAGAGGUUUGCCUGGUCGUGGUCCGUUCCUGUGUUGCGUGACAUUUCCUGAAGAUAUCGACGUUUUCGCCUUCCCGAUUCGCAACAAGACUGCCCGAAACGUUGGAGCUUCGUAUGUUCAAUGACAACAAACAAGAAAACGCACCGCUUGUGAAUCUGUUGUGUGUUUUUCAAACAGGAUUGUUUUUGCUCCGUGACAGUGUGUAGAUCUAGAUUCUAGAUCUAGUAGGUUCUGUGUUCCAGCCUCUUCUCGGGGUCAGUGUGCUCUUCUGUGUGUGUGUGUGUGUGUGUAUGUGUGUAUGUGUGUGGCACACGUCUGAAUCUUAUCCUUCUGUGUGGGCGGGGCCUGUCCGGCCUUUUGUUUAUAAACGGCUUGUUUACGCUUCCAACGGGGAGAGCGAGAGAUUUAUUAGCUGACCCGAAACUACCUCUUUACGAGACAAGCUGCUGGGAAUUCUCGACUCCAAAUAUUUCGCAGGUUGUUUUGCUUGAACCUCCUCUGAUGGCAAGUGUCGUGGUCGCUAUGGCAACGAAUUCGAUCGCUUCUACGUGAAUAUCAAAGAGAACGGAAAAGGCCGACGAUAGUAUCGGCUUCUCUCAUCACCCAGCAACAGCACAACUGCCUCCCUAGCUGUCGGGAACAGGCCAAAGAUAUUUCCGUACGUGUGUGGAUAAGAAUAACCGGAGUCGAUUUGUUUACUGUUAUCCAAUUGGGUGCUCGCUUCUACUGGGAUAGCCGUGCGCAUGUAACGCGUUUCUCAGCUGGAGGCAGACAACACUUUGUAAUUUUUACUUUGUGUUUUUAAGAGUCACUUACAACUGUUUGUUCUUUAGUUUGGCUUUCGAACGGCCUGGCAACAGUCAUCUAGCUCUCGGCAUUGGAGCUGAACAGGACAGCUGACUCAUUCUUGUUUUGUAGAUUGUGGUGAACAGAAAAUUAUCACACACUGUAAAACUCACAGGGAAUCUUUGGAGGCGAGUCAAGAAAAGCUGCGAAGGUAUUCUGUCUUUUGUGGAUAGGAACAGUACACACACAACUUGAGGUGAAGCCCGAAAAGAGACAAGAGGCUAAGCGUGAGCGCGCGCGCGUGAGUGUGUGUACGUAGCAGGCUACUGCGGUGCUCGCUCGCCUGUGUGACCGGCUCUGAUUGAUCCCCUUGAGCGCGGGGCACGUGUAUUGGUCAGCUGGUCAGGUAUACUGUUGUUCUUCCAGGGCUACCCCGGGUAGUUGCAUUCACCGCCGCUCACCUCUAGUGCGCUGGCAGGAGCCUGUUGCUUAUCUCUUUUCAAGACGCGAAUGAGAAUACCACGUCUGAGAAAUACAAAGAAAACUUUUUAGAAAGGUAUCUCUGAAAGAAAUUAUAAAGAAAGUACUUUUUGUAAUCGACAGAGAUUACCGUUUCUGUAUAAAAAAGAGAGAAAACUAUCUUUCAGA